GGGAGCUGUUGGAGGUUAUGAGAUACCAUGAGGAUCAGUAUAUUUGUCAGAGAGUGUCGUGCUGGCAAUUUGUACGGACGUUUUUCUUUCUGGUGAAAUCUUAAUAUGCAGGGUGCUGAAACAUGUUUUGGAUUUUGAUUGUGUAACCACAAUCAAUGUUUCAUAAUGGACUGGGUUCUAAUUACAUAUGUUUGCAACAAUGCAGGUGGGUUUGCUUUCUUCUUAAGUACAGUACCGGGUGUAUUCCUGUAUUUUUCGCCGCCAUUGUGAUGGUGGAUUCGUCAGGUUUCUUUCGCCUUUUUUUUUUAUCGUCGGCUCUGUUAGCGACUUGGUGUGUGUGGCCACUUCCGAGGUGUUUAUGCAAUUUUUGGAAACUUUCUGUCUGAUGUUCACAACGCCUUGCAAAUAUUCGAGCUGAUUUCUAUGGAAUAGAUUUUCAAGAUGUUAAUGGAUCCUAAGUACUUACGUCAAGCAAUGUCUCUGUUUCAUGAAAGUGUAAUCAACUUGCUUUCAGAUCUAUAGCUAGAUGUAUAACAUAUCCAUUUUUCCGCUAAUUCUCAAAUGUAUUAAACAUUUCGUUUCAGAUUUAUAAAUAAGAGUUGUGUAGUUGUUUCCUACAUGGCAUUUCCAGGGCUGUUAUACUAUUGGAUGAGAAUGGGCAUUUGAGUUUCAGAUAAAGCAUGCUUCAUGUGCUGGUGGUGGACUUUGAAUGGUUUUCUCAG
This is a long non-coding RNA of Daphnia carinata, 722 nucleotides long. RefSeq lists it as uncharacterized. The record is from RefSeq and is a predicted model, not a curated record. NCBI's taxonomy places the organism in Eukaryota, Metazoa, Arthropoda, Branchiopoda, Diplostraca, Daphniidae. The transcript is spliced from 4 exons.